CCUACGGGAGGCAGCAGUGAGGAAUAUUGGUCAAUGGGCGGAAGCCUGAAGCAGCCAAGUAGCGUGCGGGAUGAAGGCCCUACGGGUCGUAAACCGCUUUUGCACGGGGAUAACACCCUCCACUUGUGGAGGUCUGCAGGUACCGUGCGAAUAAGGGCCGGCAAAUUCCGUGCCAGCAGCCGCGGUAAUACGGAAGGCCCGAGCGUUAUCCGGAUUGAUUGGGCUAAAAGGGAGCGUAGGCGGGCGUUAAAGUCAGCGGUAAAAUCGCGCGGCUCAACCGCGCCCCGCAGUUGAAACUGGACGGCUUGAGUUCACAACAGGCAGGCGGAAUUCGUGGUGUAGCGGUGAAAUGCAUAGUUAUCACGAGGAACCCCGAUUGCGAAGGCAGCCUGCCGGGGUGCGACUGACGCUGAGGCUCGAAGGUGCGGGUAUCAAACAGGAUUAGAUACCCUUGUAGUC
Molecule: ribosomal RNA, 459 nt
Filed under: uncultured bacterium
Lineage: Bacteria
Description: partial 16S ribosomal RNA
Rfam family: Bacterial small subunit ribosomal RNA
Source: RNAcentral